UACGGAGGGUGCAAGCGUUGUUCGGAAUCAUUGGGCGUAAAGCGCGUGUAGGCGGCUUGGUAAGUCGGGUGUGAAAGCCCGGGGCUUAACCCCGGAACUGCAUUCGAAACUGCCUCGCUAGAGUCCCGGAGGGGAAGGCGGAAUUCCCGGUGUAGAGGUGAAAUUCGUAGAUAUCGGGAGGAACACCCGUAGCGAAGGCGGCCUUCUGGACGGUGACUGACGCUGAGACGAGAAAGCGUGGGGAGCAAACAGG
This 253-nucleotide ribosomal RNA is filed under the name uncultured bacterium. RNAcentral describes it as "partial 16S ribosomal RNA". It matches the Rfam family "Bacterial small subunit ribosomal RNA", at positions 524 to 776 of the family's 1533-position model. The record is from RNAcentral.